CAGUAGCCGCGGUAACACGGAGGAUCCAAGCGUUAUCCGGAAUCAUUGGGUUUAAAGGGUCCGUAGGCGGUCUUGUAAGUCAGUGGUGAAAGCCCAUCGCUCAACGGUGGAACGGCCAUUGAUACUGCAGGACUUGAAUUAUUGGGAAGUAACUAGAAUAUGUAGUGUAGCGGUGAAAUGCUUAGAGAUUACAUGGAAUACCAAUUGCGAAGGCAGGUUACUACCAAUUGAUUUACGCUGAUGGACGAAAGCGUGGGUAGCGAACAGGAUUAGAUACCCCUGUAGUCCCUGUCUCUUAUAC
This 301-nucleotide ribosomal RNA is filed under the name uncultured bacterium. RNAcentral describes it as "partial 16S ribosomal RNA". It matches the Rfam family "Bacterial small subunit ribosomal RNA", at positions 509 to 807 of the family's 1533-position model. The record is from RNAcentral.